Molecule: ribosomal RNA, 432 nt
Filed under: uncultured bacterium
Lineage: Bacteria
Description: partial 16S ribosomal RNA
Rfam family: Bacterial small subunit ribosomal RNA
Source: RNAcentral
AACGAACGCUGGCGGCAUGCCUAACACAUGCAAGUCGAACGAGACCUUCGGGUCUAGUGGCGCACGGGUGCGUAACGCGUGGGAACCUGCCUUUAGGUUCGGAAUAACUCAGAGAAAUUUGAGCUAAUACCGGAUGAUGUCUUCGGACCAAAGAUUUAUCGCCUUUAGAUGGGCCCGCGUUGGAUUAGCUAGUUGGUGGGGUAAAGGCCUACCAAGGCGACGAUCCAUAGCUGGUCUGAGAGGAUGAUCAGCCACACUGGGACUGAGACACGGCCCAGACUCCUGCGGGAGGCAGCAGGGGGGAAUAUUGAAAAAUGAGCGAAAGCCUGACCCAGCAAGGCCGCGGGAGUGAUGAAGGCCUUAGGGUUGUAAAGCUCUUUUACCCGAGAUGAUAAUGACAGUAUCGGGGAAAUAAACCCCGGCUAACCCCGU